This 1457-nucleotide long non-coding RNA is filed under the name Capsicum annuum. Its description in RNAcentral is "long non-coding RNA (CANN_LNC010397)". The record is from RNAcentral. Lineage: Eukaryota; Viridiplantae; Streptophyta; Magnoliopsida; Solanales; Solanaceae.
AAACAUUUAGAAGCUGACAACGGUAGUUGAUGAGCCAUUAACUAGUUGACAACCCGGGUUGUCAACCUUAAAUAGUAAAUACCAAAGAUGGAUAUAGAUUGACGACUAGAGUUGACAAGCUAUUAACUAGUUGAUGGGCGGUCAACUGAAGACAUCAAUUGAAAAUUUUUUACAAUUUUUAUCUUCAGUGUUUUUAGAGGUAUUUUGGUUUUUUCCUUGCCUCAAACCCUACCCCACGACUUAAAUCACUAUAUAAGUAUUAUUUACUCAGCUAUUAUAAAUUUUUUAUCGCUCUUUCUCCUCUUCACUCUAACUAGAAAAUAUGUUAGGAUUUCUUUCCAAAACUGAUACUUCUAAGAUUCAAAUUCAAGCUGUACUUAACUAUGGAAUUUUCAUAAAACUUUAAAUUACAUUUAUAUACAUAUAUUAUGGAUUUUGAAAUUGUUUGAAGAGCAUAAACUAUGAAAUCCUUUUUAUAAUGAAAAUUAUAUAUUUAACCAGUGUUGUGGAAUAAUUAUUAAAUGCUAAAAAGGUUGGGUUAUAAAUACUUUUUUUGGAAAAUUAUAUAUUAUUUAUAUUUAUGGAUUCAAAGGGUUGUUUCUUGUAUUUUUUUCAAAUGCUCAUGUUUUCUCAUGGAGAUUGUGUGAAAUUAUGAAAACAUGACCACGAUUACAAUUAUAGAGAUGUCUUGAAAGAAUUUUAUUUUACCUAAAUUUUCUCAUGAAUUUCAAGAGAAUUCUUAUAUGAUAUUUUAAUAAUUUAGGUGGUCAAUUAUAUGUUUUUAAAUAAUGUUCUAUGGAGAUGAUAUGAUAUGAUUUAUGCGACUUACAAGUCUAGGUAUAACAAUACCUUUUCAGAGAAUAUCCUUAAAGAGAAAGAAAUAAACUCUAUAACAAUGAUAAAUGAUUUUAAGAUGCUAAAAAUGGUCUUUAAGAGAGUUAGAUGGUUAACUGUGAGGGACUGAGUUGAAAGUCUUACAGCACAAAAUCAUAUUUUAUCAAUGUGGGAAUUCAUUCAGUCCUAAAAUUGUGAUAGUAAAUGUAUUCUAGCCCCAGGCAUGGUAUACUAGAAUAGAAUAUAGAUACUCUAAUCCUUGAGGCAAACAUGAAUUUGGGGACCUGGCCAACGAGUUAAGGUCGAACCCAUAUAAUCCAUGGGUAGUAAAAAGGUCGGAGAUGUCAUCUAGCUCAAAAUUUAAAAAAAAGUGGAGUCUAUGUUUUUACGAGAUUGAGUGAAGCUUUUAAAUUAUGCCUAUGCAUUUUGAUUUCUAUUUUUGUUGAAUUAUUUCAUAAUGCUCUUGUUUAUUUUGUAUACAAUAUAUGUUGUUUUUGGAUUGUUCUACAUGUCAAUACAUUUAAGGCAUUGACCGCUCUCUGGCAUCUAGAUUUUUUCAUAAUGUAGGUUAUGAGGUUCAGUCUCAUGGUCUAUCACAAUAGUAAAAGCUUCCAAAGCAUCAG